This 253-nucleotide ribosomal RNA is filed under the name uncultured bacterium. RNAcentral describes it as "partial 16S ribosomal RNA". It matches the Rfam family "Bacterial small subunit ribosomal RNA", at positions 524 to 776 of the family's 1533-position model. The record is from RNAcentral.
GACGUAGGAGGCGAGCGUUGUCCGGAUUCAUUGGGCGUAAAGAGCGCGCAGGCGGCUUGGUAAGUCGGAUGUGAAAUCCCGAGGCUCAACCUCGGGUCUGCAUCCGAUACUGCCCGGCUAGAGGUAGGUAGGGGAGAUCGGAAUUCCUGGUGUAGCGGUGAAAUGCGCAGAUAUCAGGAAGAACACCCGUGGCGAAGGCGGCUCUCUGGGACGGUACUGACGCUGAGACGCGAAAGCGUGGGGAGCGAACAGG